Molecule: ribosomal RNA, 253 nt
Filed under: uncultured bacterium
Lineage: Bacteria
Description: partial 16S ribosomal RNA
Rfam family: Bacterial small subunit ribosomal RNA
Source: RNAcentral
UACGGAGGAGGCAAGCGUUAUCCGGAAUUAUUGGGCGUAAAGCGUCCGCAGGUGGCACCUCAAGUCUGCUGUCAAAGACCGGGGCUUAACCCCAGAAAGGCAGUGGAAACUGAAGUGCUAGAGUGCAGUAGGGGUAGAGGGAAUUCCCGGUGUAGCGGUGAAAUGCGCAGAUAUCAGGAAGAACACCCGUGGCUAAGGCGGUUCUCUAGUACGGUACUGACGCUGAGACGCGAAAGCGUGGGGAGCGAACAGG